This 255-nucleotide unclassified non-coding RNA is filed under the name Beauveria sp. Its description in RNAcentral is "partial contains 5.8S ribosomal RNA, internal transcribed spacer 2, and large subunit ribosomal RNA". Lineage: Eukaryota; Fungi; Ascomycota; Sordariomycetes; Hypocreales; Cordycipitaceae. RNAcentral also lists the same sequence under 3 other names. The record is from RNAcentral.
AACGCACAUUGCGCCCGCCAGCAUUCUGGCGGGCAUGCCUGUUCGAGCGUCAUUUCAACCCUCGACCUCCCUUUGGGGAAGUCGGCGUUGGGGACCGGCAGCACACCGCCGGCCCUGAAAUGGAGUGGCGGCCCGUCCGCGGCGACCUCUGCGUAGUAAUCCAACUCGCACCGGAACCCCGACGCGGCCACGCCGUAAAACACCCAACUUCUGAACGUUGACCUCGAAUCAGGUAGGACUACCCGCUGAACUUAA